Molecule: ribosomal RNA, 253 nt
Filed under: uncultured bacterium
Lineage: Bacteria
Description: partial 16S ribosomal RNA
Rfam family: Bacterial small subunit ribosomal RNA
Source: RNAcentral
UACGAAGGGGGCUAGCGUUGCUCGGAAUCACUGGGCGUAAAGCGCACGUAGGCGGACUCUUAAGUCGGUGGUGAAAUCCUGGAGCUCAACUCCAGAAUUGCCUUCGAUACUGGGGAUCUCGAGACCGGAAGAGGUGAGUGGAACUGCGAGUGUAGAGGUGAAAUUCGUAGAUAUUCGCAAGAACACCAGUGGCGAAGGCGGCUCACUGGUCCGGUUCUGACGCUGAGGUGCGAAAGCGUGGGGAGCAAACAGG